GCCCAGACUCCUACGGGAGGCAGCAGUCGAGAAUCAUUCACAAUGGGGGAAACCCUGAUGGUGCGACGCCGCGUGGGUGAAGGAGUGCUUCGGCAUGUAAAGCCCUAUCGGCAGGGAAGAAGCAAGACGGUACCUGACUAAGAAGCCCCGGCUAACUACGUGCCAGCAGCCGCGGUAAUACGUAGGGGGCAAGCGUUAUCCGGAUUUACUGGGUGUAAAGGGAGCGUAGACGGCGGCGCAAGCCAGAUGUGAAAGCCCGGGGCUCAACUCCGGGACUGCAUUUGGAACUGUGUGGCUGGAGUGUCGGAGAGGCAGGCGGAAUUCCUAGUGUAGCGGUGAAAUGCGUAGAUAUUAGGAGGAACACCAGUGGCGAAGGCGGCCUGCUGGACGAUGACUGACGUUGAGGCUCGAAAGCGUGGGGAGCAAACAGGAUUAGAUACCCCAGUACG
RNAcentral lists this ribosomal RNA (449 nucleotides) under uncultured bacterium. Its description in RNAcentral is "bacterial SSU rRNA". It matches the Rfam family "Bacterial small subunit ribosomal RNA", at positions 329 to 793 of the family's 1533-position model. The record is from RNAcentral.